GCUUUUUGUGCUUUUACUUAAAAAAAAGAAAAGAACUAGAACUGUUUGUUUACUAACGUUGGCAGCUCAAGCCUCAUCCGCACCGCGCCCUUCUGAUAAGUUACCCGUGCAAACAAAGAAUUAGCACAGUUUGCGUUCUGAGCGACGAAACCUGCCUGAAGACAGAUAUGACAUUCAGCUCCUGAGCUCGAGCUCAGUGCGUGCUGCUGAAGUUCAGUAGUGAAAGGUUUCCUGAACGUUACAGAGGGAACUUCCCCAGCGGUCCGAAACGGAUGAAUGGAGCUGCUCUGCUCUCAAAGCCCGAGCACUUCUGGCAUAGGUGGGUUUCUAGCAAACUGAAAACCAAUGCUGAAGCCCCAAACCGCUGUCUAAAAAGAAGCCAGCUUGCUAGGUUUUAAACCAACUCCGUUCAUUGCGUUCCGUCGCUCUGGGGAAGUUCAACGUUUAGGAAACCUCUCGAGACGCAUUCGGGGGACUGGGUGGGUGUUUACUGCAAAAUCGUUCUAGGAGGUCAAGAAACCUUGCUAUGAAUUUAAACGCGAUUUCUAAAGGAAAACAAGAAUGGAUCAAUAACAGUAACGUCAUGCACUGAGAUAAAUAGCGUGGAAACCCAUGUGCACGGUGCGCGCUUUUGUUCAACCCAGAAGCGUCGGGCGGGGGAGGGACGCCUCGUGCAUCCUCCGUGUGCACGAGACUUCAGUGAGAAACAAGCGAGACAGACCUGCAAUUGGAUCCUACACAAGUCAAUCCCACAUGUGGGUGGGCGGUGGAUUCAGAGCUGCACACCCAGUAAAGUUUGUGCAACAAAAGGUUGCGGGAAAGUUGCGCACGAACACGAUUCACACUUACACCUGAACUCUACAUGCGCUAAAAGCGAUCAAGCAAGCUGCCUUUAACACACGAUUGAGCUCAGUUUCAUUCAAGCCACAAUGAUGUCAUACUUGUGGAUUUUCGUCCUUGGAAGUUUAAUCGUGACUGGAGUGAAGAUGCAAGAUUCUCCGGCAGAUGAGCUCGCUCCAGAGGACUCAACCGUUCCUGCUGAAGCUGCAGACGCUGAAGAACCAGCUAAAGAACCAUCACCUGAAGAAACAUCACCUGAAGAAAUAUCACCGGAAGAAACAUCACCGGAAGAAACAUCACCUGAAGAAAUAUCACCGGAAGAACCAGCACCUGAAGAACCAGCACCCGAAGAACCAGCACCUGAAGAACCAGCACCUGGAGAAAUAUCACCUGAAGAAACACCUGAAGACCCAGCGGAGGAUGCUGUGGAUGAGGCAGCAGCUACUGCAGAGCCUGAAGACACCAACCCUGAGUCAGACGCUGCGAUAGAAGAGGCUGAAGAAACACCAGCAGCUGAAGAGAAACCUGCUGAAGCAGAAGCAGAAGAAGCAGCGGCUCCUGAAGCAGAUGACGCCGAUGCAACUAAAACAGAAGCCGAUCCACCUGCUGAAGAUCCUGAACAAGAAAUCAAGCCCGAAGAAGCUCCAGAUGAUGCAGAAACAGAGGAAGCACAAGAGGAAGCAGAAGGAGGGGAAGCAGAAGCAGGUGCAGAGACUGAAGCAGACUUUACUGCUGUACCAGAGGAACCUGUGGACCCUGAAGGGGCUGUGGAAGAUAUGUCUGCAGAAUUCGAUCUUUCUGAUGCGUUCGAAGAGAAAGCACAACCACAGGAUCCAGUAAAGACAAAAAUGGGAGAUGCAGACCAGCACAGCGCAGGUCAAGGCAGAGCUCGCAGUGCUGGAGCAGUUUCUGAGCCGAACGACAGUGGAUCUGGUACGGUUGUUGGUGUUGUUUGUGGGAUUGCAGUAGCAGCUGUUGGUGCCAUAAUCGGAUACUUCACCUACCAGAAGAAGAAACUGUGCUUCAAGGUCCAGAGAGGUGAUCCAGAGAGUGCCAAAGAAGAGAACGGCACACAGAACCCUGAGGUUUUAAGCACCCUCCUGAAGUCAUCUGAACACGCCCCUGCAGCCGGCAGUGAACUUGCGUGAAGCUACUGUGAACUGCUUUACAUGGGAGCAGGACGUUGUAACUACCCACAUCUUGAGAACCGGAUGAACUUCACAAACACAUUCACAGUACAGAAAGUCAGCACAAAUAUCAUUUCUACACUCACUCUGAGUUCCUGACGCACAUUAAGUCCUUUUUCAUAAUAUCUCAUCUUCCUACUGCUUCGACUACAGUUCUAAACUAGCACAUAGGACUGUUAAUAAUACAUGUUUUGAAUGUAAUUUCACAUCGUUUGAGUGGAACGGGAUGUGUGCGUGUAUGCAUGUGUAAUUCGACAGCCUUUUGGUAGAGGCAUUUCAUUUCGUUACUUUAAAAAAUGUCGUUUGGUUUCAUUACUGUGUCAUUGAUCGCAGUUUUGUUUGAUGUCAAAUUGUUGCCUCUGAUUCAUAAAAGAGCAAAUCUCACAAUGUGGAAUGAUUCAAAUUGUAUUGUCUGACCAAACAGAAUUCAUAGGAAUUUUUCUUUCUAUUUUUUGUUUUGUUUUAAAAUUCUGUAAAUAAUUGUUGCGUUUGAAUAAAGAGUGGUUACAUUUAAAAGACGUUACACAUUUAAUUGCACAGUUUCAUAAUGCAACGAAAAAAAAAAAACAGAA
Long non-coding RNA from Cyprinus carpio carpio, 2599 nucleotides. NCBI's taxonomy places the organism in Eukaryota, Metazoa, Chordata, Actinopteri, Cypriniformes, Cyprinidae. The record is from Ensembl.